GGUGGUUCUCAGGUGAUGCACCCCGGAACCAGAGAGGAGGGAGCCUGAUUCCAGGGUGCAUCACCUGAGAACCUCC
This is a non-coding RNA of Myotis brandtii (Brandt's bat), 76 nucleotides long. The record is from Rfam. NCBI's taxonomy places the organism in Eukaryota, Metazoa, Chordata, Mammalia, Chiroptera, Vespertilionidae.